GGGGCGGUGGCCCAGAUGGUGACCGGUAAUGGCUGCCGCGGCGAGCUCCUCUCCAUCAACCUGGGAUUCGGGCUCGGAGCCACCUUCGGCAUCUAUGUCACGGGGGGAAUCUCUGCACCAUGGACAGUUUGCAGCGGAAUCACUUAACAACUUCCUGACAAAAUUUGACCAUUACGAGGCCUGGAGACGGGCGACCCAAAACGUUGGGGAGGGGAGAGAAAGAGAGAGAACGAUCUGAAGAGAUUUAAGGCGGCAUACCGGCUCUCUGGGCCCGGGCAGCUGAAGGCAGAGCAGCUCAAGGCGGAGAGAGGGAUCUUUGGAAGGAUUGUGAGACCUCUGGAAGGUGAUGGGUUGGAAGGGUUUUCAGCGGCUGUUACAAGCCUUGGACACGGAGAUGUCGGGAGGUCCAGGAAUGAAGAUUGGCGGAACGAUUAUUCACAGCCGGGAUCAGCUCAGAAGAGUCCAAAUGCGGCGGUGGCUGCAGCGUGCACUGUCUACAAAGUGUACCUCCCCUCCCGAGCCCCCCACCUCUAACGCCAAAGGAAGCAGCCCCACCCUCAGGCUUGCCA
Long non-coding RNA from Mobula hypostoma (lesser devil ray), 569 nucleotides. RefSeq lists it as uncharacterized. The record is from RefSeq and is a predicted model, not a curated record. The transcript has 3 exons. Lineage: Eukaryota; Metazoa; Chordata; Chondrichthyes; Myliobatiformes; Myliobatidae.